RNAcentral lists this transfer RNA (76 nucleotides) under Acidaminococcaceae bacterium. RNAcentral's name for it is "tRNA-Thr". It matches the Rfam family "tRNA". Rfam says of the family: Transfer RNA (tRNA) molecules are approximately 80 nucleotides in length. Their secondary structure includes four short double-helical elements and three loops (D, anti-codon, and T loops). The record is from RNAcentral. Lineage: Bacteria; Bacillati; Bacillota; Negativicutes; Acidaminococcales; Acidaminococcaceae.
GCCACAGUAGCUCAGCCGGUAGAGCAACGGUUUCGUAAACCGUAGGUCGCAGGUUCAAGUCCCGUCUGUGGCUCCA